RNAcentral lists this ribosomal RNA (800 nucleotides) under uncultured bacterium. RNAcentral's name for it is "bacterial SSU rRNA". It matches the Rfam family "Bacterial small subunit ribosomal RNA", at positions 8 to 803 of the family's 1533-position model. The record is from RNAcentral.
AGAGUUUGAUCCUGGCUCAGAUUGAACGCUGGCGGAAUGCUUUACACAUGCAGGUCGAACGGCAGCACGGACUUCGGUCUGGUGGCGAGUGGCGAACGGGUGAGUAACAUAUCGGAACGUAUCCAAUAAUGGGGGAUAACUAAUCGAAAGGUUGGCUAAUACCGCAUACGCCCUACGGGGGAAAGCUAGGGACCUUCGGGCCUGGCGUUAAUGGAGCGGCCGAUAUCUGAUUAGCUAGUUGGUGAGGUAAAGGCUCACCAAGGCGACGAUCAGUAGCUGGUCUGAGAGGACGACCAGCCACACUGGAACUGAGACACGGUCCAGACUCCUACGGGAGGCAGCAGUGGGGAAUUUUGGACAAUGGGCGCAAGCCUGAUCCAGCCAUUCCGCGUGAGUGAAGAAGGCCUUCGGGUUGUAAAGCUCUUUCGCAAGGGAAGAAAACUUAGUUACUAAUAUUAACUGAGGUUGACGGUACCUUGAUAAGAAGCACCGGCUAACUACGUGCCAGCAGCCGCGGUAAUACGUAGGGUGCGAGCGUUAAUCGGAAUUACUGGGCGUAAAGCGUGCGCAGGCUGUUUUGUAAGUCAGAUGUGAAAUCCCCGAGCUCAACUUGGGAACUGCGUUUGAAACUACAAGACUAGAAUAUGUCAGAGGGGGGUAGAAUUCCACGUGUAGCAGUGAAAUGCGUAGAGAUGUGGAGGAAUAUCAAUGGCGAAGGCAGCCCCCUGGGAUAAUAUUGACGCUCAUGCACGAAAGCGUGGGGAGCAAACAGGAUUAGAUACCCUGGUAGUCCACGCCCU